UGGUUUCUGAAAGGCAUUGCCAUGGA
Molecule: non-coding RNA, 26 nt
Filed under: Rattus norvegicus (Norway rat)
Lineage: Eukaryota; Metazoa; Chordata; Mammalia; Rodentia; Muridae
Source: RNAcentral